UGGGGAAUUUUGGACAAUGGGCGAAAGCCUGAUCCAGCAAUGCCGCGUGUGUGAAGAAGGCCUUCGGGUUGUAAAGCACUUUUGUCCGGAAAGAAAUCCUUGGCUCUAAUACAGUCGGGGGAUGACGGUACCGGAAGAAUAAGCACCGGCUAACUACGUGCCAGCAGCCGCGGUAAUACGUAGGGUGCAAGCGUUAAUCGGAAUUACUGGGCGUAAAGCGUGCGCAGGCGGUUUGCUAAGACCGAUGUGAAAUCCCCGGGCUCAACCUGGGAACUGCAUUGGUGACUGGCAGGCUAGAGUAUGGCAGAGGGGGGUAGAAUUCCACGUGUAGCAGUGAAAUGCGUAGAGAUGUGGAGGAAUACCGAUGGCGAAGGCAGCCCCCUGGGCCAAUACUGACGCUCAUGCACGAAAGCGUGGGGAGCAAAACAGGAUUAGAUACCCUGGUAGUCCACGCCCUAAAACGAUGUCAACUAGUUGUUGGGGAUUCAUUUCCUUAGUAACGUAGCUAACGCGUGAAGUUGACCGCCUGGGGAGUACGGUCGCAAAGAUUAAAACUCAAAUGAAUUGACGGGGUCAUAGCUGUUUCCU
This 588-nucleotide ribosomal RNA is filed under the name uncultured bacterium. RNAcentral's name for it is "partial 16S ribosomal RNA". It matches the Rfam family "Bacterial small subunit ribosomal RNA", at positions 355 to 1375 of the family's 1533-position model. The record is from RNAcentral.